RNAcentral lists this ribosomal RNA (319 nucleotides) under Ehrlichia canis. Its description in RNAcentral is "bacterial SSU rRNA". It matches the Rfam family "Bacterial small subunit ribosomal RNA", at positions 102 to 438 of the family's 1533-position model. Lineage: Bacteria; Pseudomonadati; Pseudomonadota; Alphaproteobacteria; Rickettsiales; Anaplasmataceae. The record is from RNAcentral.
ACGGGUGAGUAAUGCGUAGGAAUCUACCUAGUAGUACGGAAUAGCCAUUAGAAAUGGUGGGUAAUACUGUAUAAUCCCCGAGGGGGAAAGAUUUAUCGCUAUUAGAUGAGCCUACGUUAGAUUAGCUAGUUGGUGAGGUAAUGGCUUACCAAGGCUAUGAUCUAUAGCUGGUCUGAGAGGACGAUCAGCCACACUGGAACUGAGAUACGGUCCAGACUCCUACGGGAGGCAGCAGUGGGGAAUAUUGGACAAUGGGCGAAAGCCUGAUCCAGCUAUGCCGCGUGAGUGAAGAAGGCCUUCGGGUUGUAAAACUCUUUCA